Molecule: microRNA precursor, 187 nt
Filed under: Oryza brachyantha (malo sina)
Lineage: Eukaryota; Viridiplantae; Streptophyta; Magnoliopsida; Poales; Poaceae
Description: MIR812 microRNA precursor family
Rfam family: MIR812 microRNA precursor family
Source: Rfam by way of RNAcentral
AAUAAGUUUAUUUUUCAGUUUAUACAUAAAUAUUUUAACUGUUCGUCUUAUUUGAUUUUUUUAUUAAUAUUUUUAUUGUUACUAGAUGAUAAAACAUGAAUAGUAUUUUAUACGUGACUAAUGUUUUUUAAGUUUUUAUACAAAUUUUUCAAAUAAGACGAAUGAUUAAACGCUAGACACAGAAAUC